RNAcentral lists this ribosomal RNA (458 nucleotides) under uncultured bacterium. RNAcentral's name for it is "partial 16S ribosomal RNA". It matches the Rfam family "Bacterial small subunit ribosomal RNA", at positions 338 to 795 of the family's 1533-position model. The record is from RNAcentral.
CCUACGGGUGGCAGCAGUGAGGAAUAUUGGUCAAUGGGCGAGAGCCUGAACCAGCCAAGUCGCGUGAGGGAGUACUGCCCUAUGGGUCGUAAACCUCGUUUGUCGGGGAGCAAAAGCCGGACGUGUCCGGCUGUUAGAGUACCCGAAGAAAAUGCAUCGGCUAACUCCGUGCAAGCAGCCGCGGUAAUACGGAGGAUGCGAGCGUUAGCGGGAUUUAUUGGGUUUAAGGGGGGGGCAGGUGGAUAUUAAGUCAGGCGUCAAAUUCGUGGGGCUAACCCCCACCCGGCCGUUGAAACUGGGGAUCUAGAGUGUGCGAGAGGUAUGCGGAAUGCGUGGUGUAGCGGUGAAAUGCAUAGAUAUCACGCAGAACCCCGAUUGCGAAGGCAGCAUACCGGUGCACAACUGACGCUCAGGCACGAAAGCGUGGGUAUCGAACAGGAUUAGAUACCCGUGUAGUC